UCCAAUCCCAUCCAGGAUCCAAUUCAAGUCAGUUCCUUUCAAAGCGAGAAUCGGGGAAGCCGCACCAGACGCCAUUCUCCUCAGAUCGUAACCGCCAUUAACUGAUGCUGGCGUUUCAAGUUUAUUUCUUUUUUGUGGCUCCUUCUUCUUUGUUUCGUGGCUUGUUUUGGUUUCGAACCGGGUUGUGCUGGUGACUGUGAUAUCGGUAAGCACAGGUUUCACUCGCACUGCUGGGAUAUACGAAUCGGUUAUGACGGUUACGGCGGCCUCUCUACUACCAGGAAGCUGGCUCAGAGAUUAUCGCCGCUGCUAGCAAGUCCAGUGUGUGCGUUUUAUGAGUGAUUCGUAGAAAGCGCAGGACAGAGAGCGAUGCGUGAAAGAAAGGCAGAUGUUGAGCAAAGGGCGAGCCUGUACACAGACAUAACGUAAGUUUUCUCUUAGCUGUUCGAAUUGAUCUUUUGCUUUGUUUGUGUUCUCUUUUAUGCAGGCGUAGUCGCAAAGAAAGAAGACAGCCUGGAUGCCGAAACGACGUGGCUUCCCGCGAGGUUCUAGUGCAUUUCAACUAUUAGAACGGUCAGUUAACUGCCUUUAUUGUUCACAAGAGAGAGUAUGGAAAAAUGUAGCAGUGCUAAUCAAAUGUAAGGAGAAUAAAACCUUUUGGCAAGCAUA
This is a long non-coding RNA of Ornithodoros turicata, 669 nucleotides long. RefSeq lists it as uncharacterized. NCBI's taxonomy places the organism in Eukaryota, Metazoa, Arthropoda, Arachnida, Ixodida, Argasidae. The record is from RefSeq and is a predicted model, not a curated record. The transcript is spliced from 2 exons.